GACGUAGGGCGCGAGCGUUGUCCGGAUUUAUUGGGCAUAAAGAGCUCGUAGGCGGCUUGUCACGUCGACCGUGAAAACUUGGGGCUCAACCCCAAGCCUGCGGUCGAUACGGGCAGGCUCGAGUUCGGUAGGGGAGACUGGAAUUCCUGGUGUAGCGGUGAAAUGCGCAGAUAUCAGGAGGAACACCUAUGGCGAAGGCAGCUCUCUGGGACGGUACUGACGCUGAGACGCGAAAGCGUGGGGAGCGAACAGG
RNAcentral lists this ribosomal RNA (253 nucleotides) under uncultured bacterium. RNAcentral's name for it is "partial 16S ribosomal RNA". It matches the Rfam family "Bacterial small subunit ribosomal RNA", at positions 524 to 776 of the family's 1533-position model. The record is from RNAcentral.